AGAGUUUGAUCCUGGCUCAGGAUGAACGCUGGCGGCGUGCCUAACACAUGCAAGUCGAGCGAUCUUCUUCGGAAGAGAGCGGCGGACGGGUGAGUAACGCGUGGGUAACCUGCCCUGUACACACGGAUAACAUACCGAAAGGUAUGCUAAUACGAGAUAAUAUACUUUUAUCGCAUGGUAGAAGUAUCAAAGCUUUUGCGGUACAGGAUGGACCCGCGUCUGAUUAGCUAGUUGGUGAGGUAAUGGCUCACCAAGGCGACGAUCAGUAGCCGACCUGAGAGGGUGAUCGGCCACAUUGGAACUGAGACACGGUCCAAACUCCUACGGGAGGCAGCAGUGGGGAAUAUUGCACAAUGGGCGAAAGCCUGAUGCAGCAACGCCGCGUGAGCGAUGAAGGCCUUCGGGUCGUAAAGCUCUGUCCUCAAGGAAGAUAAUGACGGUACUUGAGGAGGAAGCCCCGGCUAACUACGUGCCAGCAGCCGCGGUAAU
This 489-nucleotide ribosomal RNA is filed under the name uncultured bacterium. RNAcentral describes it as "bacterial SSU rRNA". It matches the Rfam family "Bacterial small subunit ribosomal RNA", at positions 8 to 524 of the family's 1533-position model. The record is from RNAcentral.